CAAGAAAGUUUGCUUUCAGUAUAAAAUUAGACACUAAAACUAACUGAUUUUUUUUCCACCCCAAAACCAAACUCUUGCCCAAAUACUUUUCCACUAAACAUAUUCCAGGACAGUAGUUUUAAUGUACAUGAGUGGCUUGGAUCAUAGUAAGGCAGUGUCUGUGUUCCUCCUCAGCUGUCAGUACACUUCGAUGUAUUCCUGGCCAACGCGCCUCUCAGCAGUCACUUGGAAGCACUUGGAAGCAGCUCAACCCACAUUAUCAGAAUAAUAUGGGUGAGAAAACUGCUGGCCACUCUCUGGAAGUACUGUUAAAAGCCUCCGAAAUGCUUUGUGUUCUUGUGAUGGGGGCUUUAGCAAGAGAUCACUGUUGGCACUCCCAGCCUUGCAUCUACAUGGUCAGGAUACUGCAGAACUCCACAGAGCCACCUAGUGCUGGAAAAAGAUCACUUUCAACUCCUGGGACGUCCUCUGCAGUCCCAUAAAUAUUUGGGACUAAUUGUCUGGCAAGGAGGAACCAAAGCCAAUUCUGCAGAAGACAAGACCCUGCAGUUCCAGUUAUGUGCAGCAGCAAGUCUGAGAACAGAAUAGCCGAUGAACUGCGCAUACAGGAAAUGUAUUUUUAUCCUAAUAAGCUAAGGGCAAGAAGGACAUUCUGCAAAACACUGUGAGUGACCAGGCAUUCUCAAGUCGUUAUUAUCUGUGGGACUUCUCCUCUAUGCUGCCAGCCUAAGCUGAGCAGCGAGCAAACCUGAUUUUUUGUAAGGUUACCUGAGCUGCUUCCCAUGCCCUACAGGACUCCCAGCUCUUGCUCUCCACCUAUUUCGCUUUAUUCUCUUCCUUACAGGGUACCUCUUGAAUUUGCUUCUUACUUCUUGGACAUUCUUUGCCAUCACAGGGCCAAGACUUUCUGGCCUCAUAUUCGAUCACGGCUAUGAAAGAAUCAGCAUGGUGUGCUCCCCUCCAUAUCACUUGCUCCUUUGCUCACACUGCCUCCUCCCAUGUGUUGGCAGAGACGACCAAGAAGCCACACAGUGGACCAGAUCAGGAAAUCAAACAACUGAUCUGAAAAUUUAAAAAUAAAAAAAUAAAAUAAAAUACAGAAUAGAAACAGUUGGCACCCAGCUAGUUUAAAUUACCUGAUCCUGUUGACCACAGAAGUGAUGCACUGAUGCUUGUGUGAGAAGGAAACCAGGAGUAGCACAGGGUGAGAUGGUGGCCUGAUAAAUUCAGCAAAUGACAGCCUAAGACGUCACUUCUGCUCUGUACAGAAAUAUCCAACAGGAGAAUCUGGAAUAAGCCCUGCAGUUCUUCCACCAGGGCACUGCUCUAGUUAAAAACAAGUAAGUUAACACCUUUCUUUACAGCCAUUAUUUCUCCGCAGAUUUUAGAUUUGUUGUCCGUGAGAUUGCAGAUAGCCAUGCUCCGGAAACGUGUAGUUUGGAUGUCAGACUGGAAUAUGCAACUUAUCGUUCCCCCUUCCCCCUUAGAAUUUGAGAGGAUUUUGCUGUGGAACUAGCUAGCUGGGCC
Molecule: long non-coding RNA, 1527 nt
Organism: Tympanuchus pallidicinctus (lesser prairie-chicken)
Lineage: Eukaryota; Metazoa; Chordata; Aves; Galliformes; Phasianidae
Exons: 3
Source: RefSeq, a predicted model, not a curated record